CAAGGUGGUCCCACCCCUUCCCAUCCCGAACAGGACCGUGAAACGCCUUUGCGCCGAUGAUAGUUGAUUAACGUCUGUGAAAGUAGGUCAUCGUCAGGC
This 99-nucleotide ribosomal RNA is filed under the name Eoetvoesiella caeni. Lineage: Bacteria; Pseudomonadati; Pseudomonadota; Betaproteobacteria; Burkholderiales; Alcaligenaceae. The record is from RNAcentral.